UACGAAGGGGGCUAGCGUUGUUCGGAUUUACUGGGCGUAAAGCGCACGUAGGCGGAUAUUUAAGUCAGGGGUGAAAUCCUGGAGCUCAACUCCAGAACUGCCUUUGAUACUGGGUAUCUAGAGUCCGGAAGAGGUGAGUGGAACUCCUAGUGUAGAGGUGGAAUUCGUAGAUAUUAGGAAGAACACCAGUGGCGAAGGCGGCUCACUGGUCCGGUACUGACGCUGAGGUGCGAAAGCGUGGGGAGCAACAGGAUUAAGAAAC
RNAcentral lists this ribosomal RNA (262 nucleotides) under uncultured bacterium. Its description in RNAcentral is "partial 16S ribosomal RNA". It matches the Rfam family "Bacterial small subunit ribosomal RNA", at positions 524 to 786 of the family's 1533-position model. The record is from RNAcentral.